GAGUUUGAUCGUGGCUCAGAUUGAACGCUGGCGGCAGGCCUAACACAUGCAAGUCGGGCGGUAGAGAGAAGCUUGCUUCUCUUGAGAGCGGCGGACGGGUGAGUAAUGCCUAGGAAUCUGCCUGGUAGUGGGGGAUAACGCUCGGAAACGGACGCUAAUACCGCAUACGUCCUACGGGAGAAAGCAGGGGACCUUCGGGCCUUGCGCUAUCAGAUGAGCCUAGGUCGGAUUAGCUAGUUGGUGAGGUAAUGGCUCACCAAGGCGACGAUCCGUAACUGGUCUGAGAGGAUGAUCAGUCACACUGGAACUGAGACACGGUCCAGACUCCUACGGGAGGCAGCAGUGGGGAAUAUUGGACAAUGGGCGAAAGCCUGAUCCAGCCAUGCCGCGUGUGUGAAGAAGGUCUUCGGAUUGUAAAGCACUUUAAGUUGGGAGGAAGGGCAGUAAAUUAAUACUUUGCUGUUUGACGUUACCGACAGAAUAAGCACCGGCUAACUCUGUGCCAGCAGCCG
This 512-nucleotide ribosomal RNA is filed under the name uncultured bacterium. RNAcentral describes it as "bacterial SSU rRNA". It matches the Rfam family "Bacterial small subunit ribosomal RNA", at positions 9 to 517 of the family's 1533-position model. The record is from RNAcentral.